Molecule: ribosomal RNA, 484 nt
Filed under: uncultured bacterium
Lineage: Bacteria
Description: partial 16S ribosomal RNA
Rfam family: Bacterial small subunit ribosomal RNA
Source: RNAcentral
AUUGAACGCUGGCGGCAGGCCUAACACAUGCAAGUCGAGCGGAUGAAGGGAGCUUGCUCCUGGAUUCAGCGGCGGACGGGUGAGUAAUGCCUAGGAAUCUGCCUGGCAGUGGGGGAUAACGUCCGGAAACGGGCGCUAAUACCGCAUACGUCCUGAGGGAGAAAGUGGGGGAUCUUCGGACCUCACGCUAUCAGAUGAGCCUAGGUCGGAUUAGCUAGCUGGUGGGGUAAAGGCCUACCAAGGCGACGAUCCGUAACUGGUCUGAGAGGAUGAUCAGUCACACUGGAACUGAGACACGGUCCAGACUCCUACGGGAGGCAGCAGUGGGGAAUAUUGGGCAAUGGGCGAAAGCCUGAUCCAACCAUGCCGCGUGUGUGAAGAAGGUCUUCGGAUUGUAAAGCACUUUAAGUUGGGAGGAAGGGCAGUAAGUUAAUACCUUGCUGUUUUGACGUUACCAACAGAAUAAGCACCGGCUAACUUCGUG